RNAcentral lists this long non-coding RNA (1736 nucleotides) under Homo sapiens (human). RNAcentral's name for it is "HSALNT0338020". The record is from RNAcentral. Lineage: Eukaryota; Metazoa; Chordata; Mammalia; Primates; Hominidae.
GUGGCUCACGCCUGUAAUCCCAGCACUUUGGGAGGCCGAGGCAGGAGGAUCACUUGAGCCCAAGAGUUCGAGACCAGCCUGGGCAACAUAGUGAGACCCCAUCUCUAAGUUUUUAAAUAAAAAUUUAAAAAUAUACAAAUAAAAUAAGCACCUUUGUGUGAGUCCAGGGAACCUCUGUGAAGCUGUGGCUUUGCUGUUACCCAUUCAGAAUGGGAGUCCUUCAGGGAUGUCUGGGGACCUGUCCUUAUCCAGACUGGAUUUCAUUUUUGUUUUUGAAGCCACCAUCCCAGAACAGUGAAGACAGUACAGAAAGCUACUAGAAGCAACCAGAUGCAAUCCUGUACUCUUUCUCAAGCAAGGAGGGACUGCUUAUCUGUUGGCAUCUUUAUGCACUGUGUGGAGUACUGAUGAAAAGUGACAGCAUUUCAUAGCUGUGUUUAGGGGAGGUGGGGAGCCGACUGCAGUGCUAUCCAGACAGCUCACCCUCUUUGCAGCUAUUAAGAGUCUCAUCAAGGCUGUCUAUGCGAUGUCGUCAUUCUCACAUUCCCAGAAGUAGAAUUUGAAAAGAUCAGUGAACAUUAACAAUUUCUUCUUCUCCCUGACAUAUGCACACAUACAGCCUGCUUUUGUUUACAGUUGUAAUUUUUAAAAUAAAAAAUCUUUGGUCCUGAAAUAUUAAACUUUCAUAGUCUUGCUCACUGGGGCAGAAUGAAGGAAACAAACUGAGAGGCUGGGUGAGGUUUGUGUUUUCAGCAGCAUCAUAUGAGGUGAGGAAUGUCUGCUUAGAUCUGGGGCUUGACUGGGUCUCCGCAUUCUACACUGCCACCACAGACAAGUUUGGAGGUGUUCCUGGGGCUCAGACACUUGAAAACGUGGGGACAUUCUCAAAUUUCUCAUCACUAUAAGUCCAUUGAAGGGUUUUUAAAAAAUCUUUCUUUCUCUCUUUUCCUCCCUCCUUCCUUCCCUUCUUCUUUUUACAUUUAGCUAAUUCCUCUGAAAAAAAAAAACAGUGAAUAAUUGGAAGUCAGUAGAACUGGGAUCAUGUUUGCCUUGAAGAUGGAACUUGGGGCUAUCCCCUGCAAAUAAAAGUGUCAUUUCCAAGAACGACGUCUCUGUUAUAGAUGGGUAACUUAUUUUCUAGUAGAGGGUGCUGCCUUUAUAAUAUAUAAUAACCCCAUAUUUUCUUACCACCCCCUGGCCAUGCAGAACUGCAUCAACCUCUCCACCAUCUCAGAAAAUAUCUGCAUAGGGUCUCAUCGGUUUUUUUCUAAGUGCUGUGCCUCAUAGAACACCAUGGGGUUGAUACAGACAAUACGUGACCCUCAGGACCUUACCAGAGGACAGUGCCUAGGAACAUAGUACAUGGAGCCAAGGAUGUUUAUAACCCACUGUGGUUCCACAAGAACUUUAGGUGACUUGAAAACCUUAUGAUCCAUUGACAUGAAAGCACUAACCCAUUCAUUUGUGUACAUGAUCAACACAUGUCAGUUCCUUGAGGAUGGGGACUCGCCUUGUUCACUGCUGUAUCCCCAGGGCUUAGAAUAGUACCUGGUCUAUAAUAGCAAGCUCCCAGUAAAUAUCUGCUGUUUAAUGAAGUAAUGGUAAUUUUGAAACACUUUGGAAAAUACCUUUCUUGUGCUUUAGUUUUUGCAUUUUGUAAACCUCUGUACAUUAAUAAAAAUUUAUGAUUAAUAAUGUCUUGUAGAACACAUUUGCCUCAGAAACUUUGAUUAUUU